This 309-nucleotide unclassified non-coding RNA is filed under the name uncultured fungus. RNAcentral describes it as "partial contains 5.8S ribosomal RNA and internal transcribed spacer 2". The stretch from base 1 to 133 matches the Rfam family "5.8S ribosomal RNA", at positions 22 to 154 of the family's 154-position model. Lineage: Eukaryota; Fungi. The record is from RNAcentral.
UGGUUCUGGCAUCGAUGAAGAACGCAGCGAAAUGCGAUAAGUAAUGUGAAUUGCAGAAUUCAGUGAAUCAUCGAAUCUUUGAACGCACAUUGCGCCUUUUGGCAUUCCGAAAGGCAUGCCUGUUCGAGCGUCAUUACAACACUCAAACCCCGGUUUGACGUUGGGUCUACCGCUGGCACGGUAGGCCUGAAAAUCAGCGAUGGUGACCGAUGACCACGGCGCACGGAUGUCGCCAAGUGGGAGACGGUUGUCGUUCGGAAAUCUCAUGUCUUUGACGUUGACCUCGGAUCAGGUAGGGAUACCCGCUGA